CUGGCAUAAUGAUGAAGACAAUUGGUGUCCAAUCUAUUUGAUGAUAAAUUGCUCCUACUGAUUCUGA
Triticum aestivum (bread wheat) is the source of this 67-nucleotide non-coding RNA. The record is from Rfam. Lineage: Eukaryota; Viridiplantae; Streptophyta; Magnoliopsida; Poales; Poaceae.